Molecule: long non-coding RNA, 771 nt
Organism: Homo sapiens (human)
Lineage: Eukaryota; Metazoa; Chordata; Mammalia; Primates; Hominidae
Exons: 2
Source: RefSeq, a predicted model, not a curated record
GCACUUUCUGUUCUCGGUGAGGCGGCUUCUCAAGGCUCCCAAGAAAGGGAUUGGCUUCACCUCUUCUUAAAGGAGAGGCACACAGAGUUCCGUGGAAAUUAUCUGAGGCAAUGACCCACUCUCAAAUGUCUCUACCAGGCAACUCACGCCUUGACUUUCCUCCCUGUGUAUCCCUGCGCCAGCAGUUCAUCUCUCUGAGCCUUGAGAUGGAGAUUCCUAAGGAAAAUGAAGAUAAUUAUUUAAUAUGAUAAUAUUAAAAUUUCCCCUAUCAGUAAUUUUCAGAUGACAUCAGCAUUACCUGCGAAUUUGUUACCAAUGCAAGUUCUUAGUCCCCACCCACUGAAUCAGCAACCAGGAUCUGACCCCUCCCCAUCUGCCCCUCCAGCCCCCAGGGAAGCCAGAACCAGGCACAAACCAGAUGGCCCAGCUUAUGCCCAGCAACUCAGGGUCACCAGAUCUUGUCUCAUCAAGACACUUUCAGCCCACCACCCAAACCUGUAGCCCACAUGAAGAGGGCAAUAAUCCUGGACACUGUGAAAAGUAAAAGCAUUACAUCCAAAGAGGCAUCCCCAGGAUGGAGCAGAAAUAAGAAAACAUAAUGAAGACACAAUUUUGCAAUCACUUCUGCCUAUAUUCCAUGGCCUACAAACCACUCAAAUAGCUCCACAUGUAAGAGAAGCCAGGAUGUGCUGUCCUCCAGAGCAUCCAGAAAGAGAUAAUGGGACUGAUAAGUCCUUGGCCAUUUUCUAGUAAAAUCUAUUAAUUUAGUCA